GUGCUCGCUUCAGCAGCACCUAUGCUAAAAUUGUGAUGAUACACAGAAGGCUGUCGUGGCUGCUGAGCAAGGAUGACAUGCCAAGGUGUGCAGCAUUCCGUAUUGUU
Callithrix jacchus (white-tufted-ear marmoset) is the source of this 107-nucleotide small nuclear RNA. NCBI's taxonomy places the organism in Eukaryota, Metazoa, Chordata, Mammalia, Primates, Cebidae. The record is from Ensembl.